AGCUGGUGUUGUGAAUCAGGCCGACGGGCAGCGCAUCCUCUUACCCGGCUAUUUCACGACACCAGGGUU
RNAcentral lists this microRNA precursor (69 nucleotides) under Pteropus alecto (black flying fox). The record is from RNAcentral. Lineage: Eukaryota; Metazoa; Chordata; Mammalia; Chiroptera; Pteropodidae.